AACCAUUCUCACCUGCGGCUAGACCUGCGGAAGGAUCAUUACAGAGUUCGUGCCCUCGCGGGUAGAUCUCCCACCCUUGUGUAUUUUCUACAUCUUGUUGCUUUGGCAGGCCGUUGGUUCGCCAACCACCGGCUCGCGGGCUGGUGCGUGCCUGCCAGAGGACCUCUCAAACUCGGUUUGUUAGUGUCGUCUGAGUACCAUAACAAUCGUUAAAACUUUCAACAACGGAUCUCAGAUCGG
This 240-nucleotide unclassified non-coding RNA is filed under the name soil metagenome. Its description in RNAcentral is "partial contains 5.8S ribosomal RNA, internal transcribed spacer 2, and large subunit ribosomal RNA". The record is from RNAcentral.